AUUGAACGCUGGCGGCAUGCCUUACACAUGCAAGUCGAACGGCAGCACGGGAGCAAUCCUGGUGGCGAGUGGCGAACGGGUGAGUAAUAUAUCGGAACGUGCCAAGUCGCGGGGGAUAACGCAGCGAAAGCUGUGCUAAUACCGCAUACGCUCUAAGGAUGAAAGCGGCGGACCGCAAGACCUCGCGUGAUUGGAGCGGCCGAUAUCAGAUUAGCAAGUUGGUGGGGUAAAGGCACAGCAAGGCGACGAUCUGUAGCUGGUCUGAGAGGACGACCAGCCACACUGGAACUAAGACACGGUCCAGACUCCGACGGGAGGCAGCAGUGGGGAAUUUUUGACAAUGGGCGCAAGCCUGAUCCAGCAAUGCCGCGUGCAGGAUGAAGGCCUUCGGGUGGUAAACUGCUUUUGUACGGAACGAAACGGCCCUUUCUAAUACAGGGGGCUAAUGACGGUACCGUAAGAAUAAGCACCGGCUAACUACGUGCCAGCCGCCGCGGUAA
Molecule: ribosomal RNA, 500 nt
Filed under: uncultured bacterium
Lineage: Bacteria
Description: partial 16S ribosomal RNA
Rfam family: Bacterial small subunit ribosomal RNA
Source: RNAcentral